GAUGAACGCUAGCGGCAGGCUUAAUACAUGCAAGUCGAGGGGCAGCAUGGUGUAGCAAUACACUGAUGGCGACCGGCAAACGGGGUGCGGAACACGUACAGAACCUUCCUUCGAGCGGGGAAUAGCCCAGAGAAAUUUGGAUUAAUACCCCAUAGUAUUAUGGAGUGGCAUCACUUUGUAAUUAAAGAUUUAUCACUUGAAGAUGGCUGUGCGGCUGAUUAGGUAGUUGGCGGGGUAACGGCCCACCAAGCCUGCGAUCAGUAACUGGUGUGAGAGCACGACCAGUCACACGGGCACUGAGACACGGGCCCGACUCCUACGGGAGGCAGCAGUAAGGAAUAUUGGUCAAUGGACGAAAGUCUGAACCAGCCAUGCCGCGUGGAGGAUGAAAGGUCCUCUGGAUUGUAAAACUUCUUUUAUAUGGGACGAAAAAAAGGCCUUUCUAAGGUCGUCUGACGGUACCAUAUGAAUAAGCACCGGCUAAACUCCGU
RNAcentral lists this ribosomal RNA (491 nucleotides) under uncultured bacterium. RNAcentral describes it as "bacterial SSU rRNA". It matches the Rfam family "Bacterial small subunit ribosomal RNA", at positions 28 to 506 of the family's 1533-position model. The record is from RNAcentral.